GUGGUCUAGUGGUGAAGAUACCAGACUAAAAAGCAGGAGAUCAUGAGUUCAAGUCCCAUC
RNAcentral lists this transfer RNA (60 nucleotides) under Ophiophagus hannah (king cobra). It matches the Rfam family "tRNA", at positions 7 to 64 of the family's 71-position model. From Rfam's summary of the family: Transfer RNA (tRNA) molecules are approximately 80 nucleotides in length. Their secondary structure includes four short double-helical elements and three loops (D, anti-codon, and T loops). The record is from Rfam by way of RNAcentral. Lineage: Eukaryota; Metazoa; Chordata; Lepidosauria; Squamata; Elapidae. RNAcentral also lists the same sequence under 1 other name.